CCCGCUGAACUUAAGCAUAUCAAUAAGCGGAGGAAAAGAAACCAACAGGGAUUGCCUCAGUAACGGCGAGUGAAGCGGCAACAGCUCAAAUUUGAAAUCUGGUUCCUUUGGGAACCCGAGUUGUAAUUUGUAGAGGUGUCUUCGGGUUUGGCCCUGGCCUAAGUUCCUUGGAACAGGACGUCACAGAGGGUGAGAAUCCCGUAUGUGGCUGGAGGUCUAUACCCAUGUGAAGCCCCUUCGACGAGUCGAGUUGUUUGGGAAUGCAGCUCAAAAUGGGUGGUAAGUUUCAUCUAAAGCUAAAUACUGGCGGGAGACCGAUAGCGCACAAGUAGAGUGAUCGAAAGAUGAAAAGCACUUUGGAAAGAGAGUUAAAAAGUACGUGAAAUUGUUGAAAGGGAAGCGCUUGCGAUCAGACUUGCCCUCAGUUGAUCAACUGGUGUUCUUCACCAGUGCACUCGGCUAAGGUCAGGCCAGCAUCGGUUUAGGCGGUUGGAGAAAGAUCAUGGGAAUGUGGCUCUCUUUGGGGAGUGUUAUAGCCUGUGAUGCCAUGCAACCAGCUUAGACCGAGGACCGCGCCUUUGUUGCUAGGAUGCUGGCGUAAUGGUCGUAAGCGACCCGUCUUGAAACACGG
Molecule: ribosomal RNA, 631 nt
Filed under: uncultured fungus
Lineage: Eukaryota; Fungi
Description: eukaryotic LSU rRNA
Rfam family: Eukaryotic large subunit ribosomal RNA
Source: RNAcentral